GGAAAAACUCACAUUCUCUGUAUUCAUUUACUAAGAACAUUUACUCUUUCUCUUAGUCCUGAUUGUCCCUAUUCUUACUUAACCACAGAGUGCCAAGUGGGGAAACCCCUUGGCCCUUUAACUCUAUGUCGCCUUGCAGAUUGUGUAGUCAUAUAAAAUCCUACAGACCAGACAAGUGCCCAAAAGUAGUCGUACAAGUCUUGAAGGGCACCGUAUUUCACUUAACCAGCUUUGGUAGAACCCAGACUUAGUGUCCUCAUGUCAUUCAUCUAAGAUAUCAUCCGUAUCAGCAGUUAUCAAAAUCUAACACAUUAUUAUACUCAUUCCUACUCUCAACCAUGAAUGCGACGGUUCACGUGAUGCAGCUUUACAAUCCAAAUGACUAAAAUUAAGUCUAGUCUAAAAUUAUAAUUACAGAAAGGAAAAAAAAAAUAUAAG
This 438-nucleotide unclassified non-coding RNA is filed under the name Hevea brasiliensis (rubber tree). The record is from RNAcentral. Lineage: Eukaryota; Viridiplantae; Streptophyta; Magnoliopsida; Malpighiales; Euphorbiaceae.